RNAcentral lists this ribosomal RNA (207 nucleotides) under uncultured delta proteobacterium. Its description in RNAcentral is "partial 16S ribosomal RNA". It matches the Rfam family "Bacterial small subunit ribosomal RNA", at positions 568 to 774 of the family's 1533-position model. The record is from RNAcentral. Lineage: Bacteria; Deltaproteobacteria.
CGUGUAGGCGGUUUGUUAAGUCUGAUGUGAAAGCCCUGGGCUCAACCCAGGAAGUGCAUUGGAAACUGGCAGACUUGAAUACGGGAGAGGGUAGUGGAAUUCCUAGUGUAGGAGUGAAAUCCGUAGAUAUUAGGAGGAACACCGGUGGCGAAGGCGGCUGCCUGGACCGAUAUUGACGCUGAGACGCGAAAGCGUGGGUAGCAAACA